CGCGCACCGAGCGCUCGGAGCCAUCUUUGAGCCCGCAUUGAGUAGUGGUGUUCGUAACUACUAUGGCCGCUUAAAGGGACUGCUUAAAGACUGCUUAAAGCCGCGAAAAACGUCAUAGCUUUCUGAGCGCGAGCGCUCAAUGUCCAGUGUUCCAUACACUGCUAACCACAGGGAAUAUCCUGCAACACAGUCACAAGAUAUUCUGUAGCAGACGACAGGAAAGACGCUGCCGGUGUCGUCUGCGAAGUGUCGUCUGCUAAGUGCGCAGUACGCCGCUCUUGAUAUUCCGCAUCGUGUGAAUCCUCAACAUGACACGGAACGGAACUUCGUCUCUCUUUUCAGGCUCGUAAUUGCUGACGCCGGAAAAAUGAAAGUCAUCCUAGUGAGCGGAAUAUUCGUCGCUGUGGCCACGUGCCUUGUCAUUGCUGCUGCUGAUGAUGAAGAUUAUGGGGAGGUGAGACCGCCACCGCUGCACAACCCCGACUCCUGUGACGCGGAAUACUGCGGUUCCAUUUGCCGGCAAUAUGCGUGCAGUCGGUUCAGAUUCUGCCGUGGCGGAAGGUGUACGCCGAGGCACACGCUGCCCUGCUUGUGCAUUCACUAGAUAAAAGACGAAAUGAAGAACAAACGCAGGUGUGUAUUUAUUUGUAGAAUAAACAAAACCGCGCAUA
Molecule: RNA transcript, 671 nt
Organism: Ornithodoros turicata
Lineage: Eukaryota; Metazoa; Arthropoda; Arachnida; Ixodida; Argasidae
Exons: 4
Source: RefSeq, a predicted model, not a curated record